GGUGAACUAUGCCUGAGC
RNAcentral lists this non-coding RNA (18 nucleotides) under Arabidopsis thaliana (thale cress). The record is from RNAcentral. Lineage: Eukaryota; Viridiplantae; Streptophyta; Magnoliopsida; Brassicales; Brassicaceae.